GCUAGGUAUAGUGGCGCAUACCUGUAAUCCCAGUUACUUGGGAGGUUGAGGCAGGAGGAUUGCAAGUUCAAGGCCAGCAACUUAGUAAGAAUCUGUCUCAA
RNAcentral lists this small RNA (101 nucleotides) under Marmota monax (woodchuck). Lineage: Eukaryota; Metazoa; Chordata; Mammalia; Rodentia; Sciuridae. The record is from RNAcentral.